UAAAUUAAUACUGUUCGCAUCAUUUCUCUAGCACGUACUCGCUUCCUUAGUGGUGGGGUUGGGGGGCACAGCCCAUGGGGGAGCGCCUGGCCUCAGUCCCCCGCAGGUGAUCCCACUCAGCCCUGUUCCCCGACCAGUGGCAUCCCAGAAGCUCAGCCCUAACUUUCCCUGGGGAAUUCGGUCCCUCCCAAGCACACCCAGAUGAUGUCUGCGUGGGGGCCUCUGGGGUAAGCGGCUUGAAAAGCUCCCUCCCCUGGUAUUCUAAUGAGCAGGCAACCUCAGAACCACCACCCCGAGGAACAAGAGAAUAUUCACGGCACCCCGUUCCUGACAGCGAAACGACACGGUACCACCCAAACGCUUGCCAGCAGCGUCCUGCAGUAACACGCCGCGGUGUAGCUCUGCCUCGGAACACGAUGCAGCAGUGCGCACGGACAGCAGCAGUGAUGAACCUCAGAACACACGGGGCUGGGCAGAAACAGCUGCACCCAGCUGCAUUCGCCGUCUGCCUCUUGGGCCUCGGGGGACACUGCCCCCUGCAGGCCCUCCGCACAGCUGCACCGACUGUCAUCGGCCAAGGACCUACUGGGAAAGGCCUCCUCUUGGUUCUACUUCAAAUCCAGGAAUAUUUAUUGAGUCUUCUCUGGGUCAAGUAUGGAGGUCAGUAGUGCACCGGACACAGUCCUUGCCCUCAAGAGCCUAACUUCCGUGGAAGAAGACAAAGCAAGCCAUCACGCACGUCGUCUAAGGUGGCGUGAAGGUCCGCGGCAGGUGCUCAGAGUGUAUCCCCCAAGGUCCGGGCAGCAGCCGAGUAGCCAGAUGGAACCAGCAAACACAGGACGCCCACUGAAACGUCAGUUUCCGGUACACGAGUUGCUGCUAUGAAUAUUCCUGGCAGUCACUCCCCGAUGCAGGCCAACCCCGCCUACUCCCACGCAAGGGGCAACCGAAUGAUCACCUGUGCUUAGAGAUUCCCAUUUAGGCGCAAGCCUUGUCGUUUGCAGUGGGGUUCCCGAGUGAGACUGCCACAGCCCGGCCUCAGGGAACCCGGGCUCCACGGGUGUAGCCAACGCCCCGGGGAGUACAGAGGGACCUUUCUACAGGAGUCACACCUGAAACGGUCCCGACACCCAAGCUGUGAUGGGCAGGUGGGGCGGCACCGACCCCGACCCCGACACCCAAGCUGUGAUCGGCAGGGGGAGGGCACCGACCCCGACCCCGACACCCAAGCUGUGAUGGGCAGGUGGGGGGGCACCGACCCCGACCCCGACACCCAAGCUGUGAUUGGCAGGGGGAGGGCACCGACCCCGACCCCGACACCCAAGCUGUGAUUGGCAGGGGGAGGGCACUGACCCCGACCCCGACACCCAAGCUGUGAUCGGCGGGGGGGGGGGGCACUGACCCCGACCCCUACACCCAAACUGUGAUGCGCAGGGGGGGGGGGACUUACCCCCAAACUUAAACUGUGAUGGGGAAGGGGAGGGGAAGGGCACUAACCCCCGAC
This 1504-nucleotide long non-coding RNA is filed under the name Oryctolagus cuniculus (rabbit). Its description in RNAcentral is "lncRNA (ENSOCUG00000034691.1)". Lineage: Eukaryota; Metazoa; Chordata; Mammalia; Lagomorpha; Leporidae. The record is from RNAcentral.